Molecule: ribosomal RNA, 279 nt
Filed under: uncultured bacterium
Lineage: Bacteria
Description: partial 16S ribosomal RNA
Rfam family: Bacterial small subunit ribosomal RNA
Source: RNAcentral
UGCCAGCCGCCGCGGUAAUACGGAGGGUGCGAGCGUUAAUCGGAAUUACUGGGCGUAAAGCGCGCGUAGGUGGUCUGUUAAGCCGGAUGUGAAAGCCCCGGGCUCAACCUGGGAACUGCAUUCGAUACUGGCAGACUAGAGUGCGAGAGAGGGAGGUAGAAUUCCAUGUGUAGCGGUGAAAUGCGUAGAUAUUAGAAAGAACACCAGCGGCGAAAGCGCUCUACUGGACCAUUACUGACACUCAGAGGCGAAAGCUAGGGUAGCAAAAGGGAUUAGAUA